Molecule: unclassified non-coding RNA, 314 nt
Filed under: Hevea brasiliensis (rubber tree)
Lineage: Eukaryota; Viridiplantae; Streptophyta; Magnoliopsida; Malpighiales; Euphorbiaceae
Source: RNAcentral
AUAAAGUUGUGGUUGCAAAAAAGGUUCAGAAGUAAUAACAAGUCCAAAGCACAUAAAAUGGAGUCAUCUACCAUCAUUGAUGACUCUGGAAAGUUUUUGCCUGGUUUCAUGUUGUGAAAAAAUGAUGCUCUGAACGCCAUGUAGGUUUUGUAACUGGUGACUGUAUAUGUUCCCAUAUCUAUUAGGCUCUUUUUUUUGUCCCCCUCCCCAUUUGCCUUGUGUAAUUUCUUGAAAGGGACUCAAUUUAUGGACUGUUGCAGUCUCAGAAUAUAAUCGUUAUAUGUGGGUUUAUCAGAAACGGCUAGUCGUUUCCG